Molecule: unclassified non-coding RNA, 329 nt
Filed under: soil metagenome
Description: partial contains 5.8S ribosomal RNA, internal transcribed spacer 2, and large subunit ribosomal RNA
Rfam family: 5.8S ribosomal RNA (bases 1-120)
Source: RNAcentral
GAUGAAGAACGUAGCGAAAUGCGAUAAGUAAUGUGAUUUGCAGAAUUCAGUGAAUCAUCGAAUCUUUGAACGCACAUUGCGCCCCUUGGUAUUCCGAGGGGCAUGCCUGUUCGAGCGUCAUUAUAACCCCUCAAGCUCAGCUUGGUGUUGGGGCCUGCUGCACUGGCAGCCCUUAAAAUCAGUGGCGGCGCCAUCUGGCUCUAAGCGUAGUAAUUCUUCUCGCUAUGGAGUCCUGGUGGAUGCUUGCCAUCAACCCCCAAUUUUUCUAUGGUUGACCUCGGAUCAGGUAGGGAUACCCGCUGAACUUAAGCAUAUCAAUAAGCGGAGGA